This 429-nucleotide ribosomal RNA is filed under the name Bacteroidota bacterium. Its description in RNAcentral is "Bacteroidetes bacterium partial 16S ribosomal RNA". It matches the Rfam family "Bacterial small subunit ribosomal RNA", at positions 355 to 776 of the family's 1533-position model. The record is from RNAcentral. Lineage: Bacteria; Pseudomonadati; Bacteroidota.
UAGGGAAUCUUCAGCAAUGGACGCAAGUCUGACGGAGCAACGCCGCGUGAGUGAAGAAGGAUUUCGGUUCGUAAAACUCUGUUGUUAGAGAAGAACAGCGCAUAGAGUAACUGUUAUGCGUGUGACGGUAUCUAACCAGAAAGCCACGGCUAACUACGUGCCAGCAGCCGCGGUAAUACGUAGGUGGCAAGCGUUGUCCGGAUUUAUUGGGCGUAAAGCGAGCGCAGGCGGUCAAUUAAGUCUGAUGUGAAAGCCCCCGGCUCAACCGGGGAGGGUCAUUGGAAACUGGUUGACUUGAGUGCAGAAGAGGAGAGUGGAAUUCCAUGUGUAGCGGUGAAAUGCGUAGAUAUAUGGAGGAACACCAGUGGCGAAGGCGACUCUCUGGUCUGUAACUGACGCUGAGGCUCGAAAGCGUGGGUAGCAAACAGG